This 225-nucleotide ribosomal RNA is filed under the name Dehalococcoidia bacterium. RNAcentral describes it as "partial 23S ribosomal RNA". It matches the Rfam family "Bacterial large subunit ribosomal RNA", at positions 1 to 224 of the family's 2925-position model. Lineage: Bacteria; Bacillati; Chloroflexota; Dehalococcoidia. The record is from RNAcentral.
AAGUCAGGUAGCAAGGGCGCAGGGCGGAUGCCUUGGCUCUGGGAAGCGAAGAAGGACGUGGCAAGCUGCGAUAAGCCUCGGGGAAGAGCAAACAUCUUUUGAUCCGGGGAUUUCCCAAUGGGGUAACCCGCAUGGCUGUUGAGGCCAUGCACUACUGACUGAAUCCAUAGGUCAGCAGAGCGAACUCAGGGAACUGAAACAUCUCAGUACCUGAAGGAAAAGAAA